UACAGAGGGGGCGAGCGUUAUUCGGAAUUAUUGGGCGUAAAGGGCGCGUAGGCGGCCUGGUGUGUCUACGGUGAAAUCCCUCGGCUUAACCGAGGAACUGCCGUGGAAACUGCCGGGCUCGAGGCCGGGAGAGGGUAGUGGAAUUCCCAGUGUAGCGGUGAAAUGCGUAGAUAUUGGGAGGAACACCGGUGGCGAAGGCGGCUACCUGGACCGGUUCUGACGCUGAGGCGCGAAAGCGUGGGGAGCAAACAGG
This 253-nucleotide ribosomal RNA is filed under the name uncultured bacterium. RNAcentral's name for it is "partial 16S ribosomal RNA". It matches the Rfam family "Bacterial small subunit ribosomal RNA", at positions 524 to 776 of the family's 1533-position model. The record is from RNAcentral.